Molecule: ribosomal RNA, 497 nt
Filed under: uncultured bacterium
Lineage: Bacteria
Description: partial 16S ribosomal RNA
Rfam family: Bacterial small subunit ribosomal RNA
Source: RNAcentral
GAUGAACGCUGGCGGCGUGCCUAAUACAUGCCAGUCGAGCGAACGGACGAGAAGCUUGCUUCUCUGAUGUUAGCGGCGGACGGGUGAGUAACACGUGGAUAACCUACCUAUAAGACUGGGAUAACUUCGGGAAACCGGAGCUAAUACCGGAUAAUAUUUUGAACCGCAUGGAUCAAAAGUGAAUGACGGUUUUGCUGUCACUUAUAGAUGGAUCCGCGCUGCAUUAGCUAGUUGGUAAGGUAACGGCUUACCAAGGCAACGAUGCAUAGCCGACCUGAGAGGGUGAUCGGCCACACUGGAACUGAGACACGGUCCAGACUCCUACGGGAGGCAGCAGUAGGGAAUCUUCCGCAAUGGGCGAAAGCCUGACGGAGCAACGCCGCGUGAGUGAUGAAGGUCUUCGGAUCGUAAAACUCUGUUAUUAGGGAAGAACAUAUGUGUAAGUAACUGUGCACAUCUUGACGGUACCUAAUCAGAAAGCCACGGCUAACUACGUG